RNAcentral lists this ribosomal RNA (305 nucleotides) under uncultured bacterium. RNAcentral's name for it is "bacterial SSU rRNA". It matches the Rfam family "Bacterial small subunit ribosomal RNA", at positions 335 to 638 of the family's 1533-position model. The record is from RNAcentral.
GGCCCUACGGGGCGCAGCAGUGAGGAAUAUUGGUCAAUGGGCGGAAGGCUGAACCAGCCAAGUCGCGUGAGGGACGACUGCCCUAUGGGUUGUAAACCUCUUUUAUAAGGGAAGAAUAAAUGCUACGUGUAGCAUGAUGCCUGUACCUUAUGACUAAGCAUCGGCUAACUCCGUGCCAGCAGCCGCGGUAAUACGGAGGAUGCGAGCGUUAUCCGGAUUUAUUGGGUUUAAAGGGUGCGUAGGCGGUUUUUUAAGUUAGUGGUUAAUCGUCUGGGCUUCACCUUGAUUUGCCUUUAAUACUGUAA